UACGGGGGGGGCAAGCGUUGUUCGGAAUUACUGGGCGUAAAGGGCUCGUAGGUGGCCAACUAAGUCAUACGUGAAAUCCCUCGGCUUAACCGGGGAACUGCGUCUGAUACUGGAUGGCUUGAGUGCAGGAGAGGAACGCGGAAUUCCAGGUGUAGCGGUGAAAUGCGUAGAUAUCUGGAGGAACACCGGUGGCGAAGGCGGCGUUCUGGACUGCAACUGACACUGAGGAACGAAAGCCAGGGGAGCAAACGGG
Molecule: ribosomal RNA, 253 nt
Filed under: uncultured bacterium
Lineage: Bacteria
Description: partial 16S ribosomal RNA
Rfam family: Bacterial small subunit ribosomal RNA
Source: RNAcentral